RNAcentral lists this ribosomal RNA (497 nucleotides) under uncultured bacterium. Its description in RNAcentral is "partial 16S ribosomal RNA". It matches the Rfam family "Bacterial small subunit ribosomal RNA", at positions 28 to 507 of the family's 1533-position model. The record is from RNAcentral.
GAUGAACGCUGGCGGUGUGCCUAAUACAUGCAAGUCGAGCGAACAGACGAGGAGCUUACUCCUCUGACGUUAGCGGCGGAAGGGUGAGUAACACGUGGAAAACCUACCUAUAAGACUGGGACAACUUCGGGAAACCGGAGCUAAUACCGGAUAACAUGUUGAACCGCAUGGUCAAACAGUGAAAGACGGUCUUGCUGUCACUUAUAGAUGGAUCCGCGUCGCAUUAGCUAGUUGGUAAGGUAACGGCUUACCAAGGCAACGAUGCGUAGCCGACCGGAGAGGGUGAUCGGCCACACUGGAACUGAGACACGGUCCAGACUCCUGCGGGAGGCAGCAGUAGGGAAUCUUCCGCAAUGGGCGAAAGCCUGACGGAGCAACGCCGCGUGAGUGAAGAAGGUCUUCGGAUCGUAAAACUCUGUUAUUAGGGAAGAACAAAUGUGUAAGUAACUAUGCACGUCUUGACGGUACCUAAUCAGAAAGCCACGGCUAACUACGUG